CCAAAAGACAAAAAGCUAGGGAAGGGCGGAGAGAACGCCGCGCCGGGGAGACCGACGGAUCGAGGAGGCGGGGAAAGUUUCCGGCACCGAAGGUACAUUCCUAGUUUCCCGACAAUUCGCCGUCCUCAGUUUCCUGGUGAGUUCUUUUGCUCUGCCAUAUAGUCGUUCCGUGCCACUAUAGUUUUACUAGAGCUUUUGAUUGCAUACAGGGAGGUUUGAUUUUGGGCGUCUAGAUCUGUGAGAGCUAAAUGGGAUUUGAUUCUGGUCGUAAUUUCUCUUUUGCGAGGUGCGAGGCAAGCGGGGAGAUUAUUUUGGGUGAAUUUUUCCAUUUGCUGAUUCAUGGCUGUAAGUCAAAUCCAGUUUUGGGGAUCACAUAUCGGGCAGAUUUUCCUAAGUUUCGUUGGUGAUUUUUGUGUUGUUCUAGCAGUAAGUACAGACUCUGAUGUGUAAUAUGUUGCUACUCCUACUUCAUUUGAUGUCACACUGAAUCCCCUAAAUCCUUCAAUUCGUGGGUAUUCUAUCUUGUUGCAUCAUGAACUAAAGAAUCCCUUAUUCAAAUGGCAAUGAUCAGUGAGGAAACAUGUUCAUAUGUGCUACAAGAAUAUGCUAGCAGUGGGCAAGUGUUCCAAGGUUCUGAGAGUGCAUUGCAUGAUUUUGUUUGAACUGCUGAUUCAGUAUUCGUAUAUAUAAAGGUAGAUUUAAUCCCCUUAAGGUUUAUUCAUUGUUCUGGUACAAUCUUGCAUGUAUGGGCGGAGGAUUUUGUUUUCUCUCAUUAGAUCAUGGAUAUCCAUCACUAGACCUAGGAUGGAGUUCAUGUUUCAGUGCUCACCCACACCACCGUUUUUGUGUUUUAUACUGUUCAGUGUGGCCUGUAUGAAUAUGGAGAAGAGGAAUACGAUCCGUGACAGAUAAGGCCUGGUUUAAUGGUAACUAUUUUGUGAUUUUGAUAGAUGAAUGUAAUGGUUGCUGUCACAUGGACCAUUGCUUCUUCUUGUUGUUCUAUAUUUCCAGGUAGUGUAAUUUGUUUGUCAUGUUCUUUAUGUCUGAAUGUGUGCACGAAAUGCCCUUCUUGUAUAUAGUUGAUGACAUGGUGAAAUACAUGAUCUAUAUCUAUUCGUGUUUCCUUUUUGUCUAGCUUACUAAUGUGUUUAAGAAUUUACAUGUUCACAUUCUUCUAGCAUUUGUUGUCGUUUUCAUAGGCCUCGUAUCAUCAAUAAUUCAGGGCAUUGAAGCACCAUCACGUUUAAGAUCACAUAGGGACGUGUCUGACUCUGCCUAUUCCAAUGUCGAGAGCCGCGAGCAAAUCAGCACAUCAAGUGACAAAGGCUAAGCAACGCUAAUUGCAGUGAUGCAGUACAUGGCUCAGUUUUUUGAGUGGUGAAGAAGCUAGGACAUAUCAGUCAUGACAGAUCAAGAAAUGAGAGAGAGAGGCUAAAUGAUCAAGACAGAUGCUGAGAAGAGGUAGUGAAAAGGAGAAGGGAUGUGAGCUGGCAUGAGAGUGUAUGAGAUCCAAGAGUUUGCCCAUCUGCUACUGCCUUCAUUUUGAUAAAG
This is a long non-coding RNA of Lolium rigidum, 1551 nucleotides long. RefSeq lists it as uncharacterized. The record is from RefSeq and is a predicted model, not a curated record. Lineage: Eukaryota; Viridiplantae; Streptophyta; Magnoliopsida; Poales; Poaceae. The transcript has 3 exons.